Molecule: non-coding RNA, 26 nt
Filed under: Cricetulus griseus (Chinese hamster)
Lineage: Eukaryota; Metazoa; Chordata; Mammalia; Rodentia; Cricetidae
Source: RNAcentral
UCUCCAGGUCGAAUGCCAGGAUAGGC